RNAcentral lists this microRNA (23 nucleotides) under Blattella germanica (German cockroach). Its description in RNAcentral is "Bge-Mir-932_5p (mature (co-guide))". The record is from RNAcentral. RNAcentral also lists the same sequence under 17 other names. Lineage: Eukaryota; Metazoa; Arthropoda; Insecta; Blattodea; Blattellidae.
UCAAUUCCGUAGUGCAUUGCAGU